UUCCGGUUCGUCUAAUGGUAGGACGCCAGUUUUUGGGUCUGGAUAUCGUGGUUCGAAUCCACGGCUGGAAACCA
Molecule: transfer RNA, 74 nt
Filed under: Ochrobactrum phage vB_OspM_OC
Lineage: Duplodnaviria; Heunggongvirae; Uroviricota; Caudoviricetes; Pantevenvirales; Kyanoviridae
Description: tRNA-Gln
Rfam family: tRNA
About the family: Transfer RNA (tRNA) molecules are approximately 80 nucleotides in length. Their secondary structure includes four short double-helical elements and three loops (D, anti-codon, and T loops). Further hydrogen bonds mediate the characteristic L-shaped molecular structure. tRNAs have two regions of fundamental functional importance: the anti-codon, which is responsible for specific mRNA codon recognition, and the 3' end, to which the tRNAs corresponding amino acid is attached (by aminoacyl-tRNA synthetases). tRNAs cope with the degeneracy of the genetic code in two manners: having more than one tRNA (with a specific anti-codon) for a particular amino acid; and 'wobble' base-pairing, i.e. permitting non-standard base-pairing at the 3rd anti-codon position.
Source: RNAcentral